RNAcentral lists this unclassified non-coding RNA (375 nucleotides) under uncultured Gammaproteobacteria bacterium. RNAcentral's name for it is "contains 16S-23S intergenic spacer region". Lineage: Bacteria; Pseudomonadati; Pseudomonadota; Gammaproteobacteria. The record is from RNAcentral.
UCCGGUUCAUCACCGGCAGUCUCCUUAGAGUCCCCAACUUAAUGAUGGCAACUAAGAACAAGGGUUGCGCUCGUUACGGGACUUAACCCAACAUCUCACAACACGAGCUGACGACAGCCAUGCAGCACCUGUCUCUGCGCUCCUUUCGGCACGCCAGUAUCUCUACCAGCUUCGCAGGAUGUCAAGAGUAGGUAAGGUUCUUCGCGUUGCGUCGAAUUAAACCACAUGCUCCACCGCUUGUGCGGGCCCCCGUCAAUUCCUUUGAGUUUCAACCUUGCGGCCGUACUUCCCAGGCGGAAGACUUAUCGCGUUAGCUUCGAUACCAAUAGGUUCCCCUACCAACAUCUAGUCCUCAUCGUUUACAGCGUGGACUAC